Molecule: long non-coding RNA, 296 nt
Filed under: Phaseolus vulgaris (common bean)
Lineage: Eukaryota; Viridiplantae; Streptophyta; Magnoliopsida; Fabales; Fabaceae
Description: long non-coding RNA (PVUL_LNC002427)
Source: RNAcentral
GCCUUCAGAAUGUGGUCAUCAUCAUAUAGCUGGCGCUCCUGCAGAAACUCCAGAAGUGGGAACACCAAAUGCCUGUCGAGGUUCGGCGCCAUCCGCGGGGUAAGGUCAUAAUCAGCCAUUUUUCUCCACACUUCGGAUUCGAUUCUAAAUUCUCACUUCUUCUUCUGCUAGGGCACACACAAACACUGAUUCAAUACAAUAUAAUACACGAUAAAAUAAUCUCUUUGUGAUGUGUUCCGAUUAAACAGAAUUUUGGUGAACUGAAAAGUGCCUUAUGUGCGGCGGCGUAAACCUAC